RNAcentral lists this long non-coding RNA (15675 nucleotides) under Phaseolus vulgaris (common bean). Its description in RNAcentral is "long non-coding RNA (PVUL_LNC001570)". Lineage: Eukaryota; Viridiplantae; Streptophyta; Magnoliopsida; Fabales; Fabaceae. The record is from RNAcentral.
CCUUUUCCUUCAUUUCCAGCAAUCCUACUAACGCCUCGCCUCACUCACAUACGGUCUCGUUCUCUCCUCGCAUUCAACAACGAGGACCUGCCACCGAUGCUCCUCCACCACCACUGCUCUUCACGCUACCGCCCAACACCACAGACUCCCACAUCUUCUCCUCCAUCUCUGCUCAUCACAUUUGGUCGUUUAAAACAGAUGCACCCGCUUCAGGAGUUACACGCCAACGGGCACCUCGCCGACAGCACCGUUCUCUUCCUCUCUCCCUUUCUCUCGCAGCCAUUUGCCGUUCUGCUUUUCAGGUGAGGUGGUUCAUAGUCAAGUUUUUGGACAAUACUGCAUGUUUUCUUUGUCGUGAUGUUGAACGUACAAGAUAUUUUUAUUUUUAAUUUUACUUAAGAUUUGGUUGAAAGUGAGUUUUCGGAAGUUUUUACAUUUUGAUCCCGCCAUGAGAGGCACUUUCGUUUGCUUUCAUUCAAUUUCUUAGUUUGUAAUACAUGGGGCCCGCACUUUUGCUCAGUUAGGUCCAAACACAGGCAUGCAAUUUUUUCCGAGAACUGUUACGUGAAAAGAAAAAAACAGAGAGCCAUUUUUAUUUCUUAGCUCAUCACACGUGGGACCCGCUGAUUUGGCUUAAAUUGGAGUUAAAAUCGUUGAGAAUUAAUGGCAAGCAAUUGGAAGAAGGAUGUUUACGUGAUAGAGGAGAAAUGGGGCCACGCGCGGGCAAUCAUGUUUGUCUUUCAAAUUUUAGGCUUUUCGCUCUUUCGACCCCCCUUGUCGAUAUUCCCACUCCCAACUAUAAAAAUUUUAAAAAUAUUUUUCUUAUUUUAAAACAUGUUUUCUAUUUUUAUUUUUGGGAAAAAAACAAACAUUUAGAGAAACCACACUCAUUUUACACAUUAAAUUAAAGGUACCGUCUUCGAACAGAUGUGGUAAAGAGUUCUAAUACCUUAUGUGUAACUGACUCCCGGACUCUGAAUCUGAUUCGCAGACCAUCUUUUUGGUUUUUCCAUAAUUUUCUGAUAUAAACUUUGGUAGCAACUUCCAUCUCUCUAAUAUUUUUUACGACAAUCUUUUUUUGGUUCGUCAUCCGCCUGUCGCGAUCCUGGUUGCGACAGUAGCAAAUCUUCAAGAAAGCUUCAUCAAACCCAAACGUUGGAUACUUGAGAUGUCCAACAAUCUCCCCUAGUUUGAUGAAGACAAAUAGUCUAACAACAAGUCUUGAGUUUUGAUAAACUUUAUCUUGUGUAGGCAGCAACCAGUGGUGAAAAAAAAAUAACAUCAUCAGUUCUUUAGUUUGUUCCCUCUAACUUGCAUAUUUUCACAUGAGCUUUAGCUUCAACAACAUAUUCUCCCUCUUUGUAUUCAUCAAACAUAAUAUGGGAAAAUAAAAUAUAGUGGAUCUAUUUGAAUGGAUGUACCAGUCCAACAAAGAACAACAAAUACAAAAAUAGUUAAAGUAAUAAUAGUGAUGCUUAAAGAAAAUAUAAAAUGUUCAAGGUGCAUACAACAAGCACCAUAUAACCUAAAAGAAACUAGAAAACAAAAGUGUUCAGCAGAUAGGAAAAUUAAACUGAUUAAAAAUAGAACACAACAGAUUAAGUGGUGAUAGAGCUUAGCCAACUACUCUUGUACUACUUAAAUCUAAUCAUCAAAAUGUUGAAACUUUGAUGUAGCCAUCUCAAAAUACUCCCUUUGUUAUGCACAAAUGGUGUCCAGCCUGUGAAUCAUGAACCUCUCAAAUCUGGACGAUGGUUCACCUCUAUCCCCUUAUGGUACAUAGGCUACCAAUGCAUUCAUAUAAGUUCCUUGAACAUCUUUACCAGCAUUGUUUGAUCCAAAAAUGUUAGUAGCAUCACCAUUUUUACUAAUCCGUAUAUUGCUAAUCUUUUGAAAACUCAUUUUCAUUAGAGUAGCACACUUCCAAAUUUUACAGUUUCUCUCAGCUCAUCCUUUAAAUCAAGUUAAAAAUGCUCUAAAAAUUUGGAAAUUAAAAUUACAUAUGGAAACUUGUAAUAUGUGAGACGUUUGAACUUAAUCAUAUGUUCUUUUAUGAUAUAGAUUUUUACCUUGAUCUUAUUCAUUAGAUAGUACAUCAGAAUUAAAGCCUUUUCUGUUAACAUGGCAUGGUUACUCCCCAUGGGUGUUAACUACCAUGCCUAAUGUGUGUCAAAAAACACUUUGUUAACUUGAGAUGUCCUACAUGAAAUCGAUUAAAGGGAAUGUCUUGAUCUUUCAAACAAGAGCAAUAGAAUUGCAUCUUGUUAAACUUACUGAUUUCAUCAGUGUUUCCCUUUCCAACCUUGACUCCAUUAUACUUGAGUCUAGUUAUACAUUUCCACAUAGCUGGUGUGAUCAACAUGUGAUAUGAUUCCAAUAGCAAGAUAUAGAUGUUUCAUAGACAUUAUAUGGAAUCAACUUGAGUUGGAAAGUGAAUAGGAACUUUUCUAGAAUUGGAUCAAUGUUCUUUCAUUCAAGAACUCACCAAAACUUGAGCUAUCACACCAAAACUCAUAUAGAAAUUCAUUUCUUGUCAAUUGAACCGAUUAAAAUGCACAAGAAAUCAAAUGAACCGAGUAAAAUGGCUAACAAUUGAAUUGAACCGAACAAAAGCAUGAAAGAAAGAAGAUGAACCGUUUAAAAACAGUAAAGAAGAAGAUGAACCGAACAAAAUAAGAAAGAAAGCUAAAGAACCGAAUAAAAGUGCAAGAAAAGACCUAAGACAUGUUUUAAGAGUUUAUAUGGACAUGGAAAUGGAUGAAUUAGAUGGAAAAGAGAAGAAGACUUAUGUGGUUGGAGUCCUUGGAAAGGAACAUGCCAUUUGGAGGAUGCAAAGCUCCAAGAUGAGUGAGAUGCCGCCACUUGAGGCUCCAAGAUUGCUCUCAAGAUAAGACUAGGUAAGAGAAGACACAAGUCUCUCAAAUGCUCACCAAUUUUGGGAGAGUUUCAGUACGAUCAAUAUCAAAUCUGUAUUUAGAAGGACCCAAGCCCUCCUUAUAUAGGAGAAGGACCGGUCAUGAAGUUUACAAAGCUUACACAACAAGCUAACCAAAAGUCUCUUGCAUGCUACCCACUUCUAGCGCCUAUAGUGAGGUAUGAAGGGCCAACUUGUAGAAAGUUCCCCUCUAAGCACCUUUCUAAAAACUAUAUAUUUAAACAUUCUACAUUUUAUACAAAAGAUACUACAAAAAGAGAAAACAUUUUACCACUACUUCCUAAUUCUUUAAAUUUGCUCCUUGUAAUCCUUUGAGGUAAGCUAAUAUCCUCUUGAUCAACUUCAACUUCGACUUCUACCUUUUCUUGAUCUUGAUCUCCAUCAUACUCCCCGAGUUGGAGAGAAUUCGACCACGAAUUCUGGAGACCUACAGAAAAAGGAGUUAGAUCACUGAUAUUAAAUGUAUGACUACCAAGGAAUGUAUCAGGCAUAUCUAACUCAUAAGCAUUAUCAUUAAUCCUGUUUAGGACUUGAAAAGGUCCAUCUCCACGAGGCAUAAAUUUGGACUUCCUUUGAGUAGGAAAACGAUCUUUCCUCAAAUGAAGCCAAACCCAAUCACCUACAUCAAAUAAUAAUGCUUUUCUCCUUUUGUUGGCAAGUUCAGCAUACUUGCCAACCUUCUUCUCAAUUCUCAACUUGAUGUCUUUAUGCAAAUUUUUAAUAAAAGAAGCUUUCUCAUCACCAUCUUUGCACAAGACAUCAUCAAGUAUGGGAAUAGGAAGAAGAUCAAGAGGUGUUAAGGGAUUAAACCCAUAGACAACCUCAAAAAGGAGAAUGUGAGGUGAUAGAAUUUACUACACGAUUAUAAGCAAAUUCAACAUGUGGUAGUAAAUCCUGAUGGCAUUCCUUUGAGCUCUUCUUUGCGUUUUGGUGAUGAACUUGCAGAAGCUUGUGGAGGAGAUGAAGCAAGGCCUUCCUAGGAAGUAUGGGUGCCUUGAAGGUGCAUGAGAGUGGGGAAUUGGGGAGGUUCGGCCAGCCCCUUUGAAGGUGAUGAAGUGAAGAUUAAAACCUAGAUGCUAGGCAAAGAGUAGUGUAUGGCACAAAUUUGGCAGCAUAACAAUACUCUAUUCAAUCUUGAAAUACAUGAGGUUGGCUCCUCCUUUUAUAGGCUAAGGAGGACCUGAAAUGAUGAGCAAAUGCAAGCCAAAUGAAAUACAAAAGAGUAGCACAUGGAGGCACAUGGAGCACAUGGCACAUGGGUGCACAUGGCCUCCUAAUUUGCACAUGGACGUCCUAGAUUAGUGGAGAUCUUCUAGAAACCGUAGCUAAUCUAGGUUAACUCCUCCUUAAUCCUAAUUUACAGAAUUUAAACAAAGGUUCAUAAGGCUAUGCUAUUUACACCACAAAUAAGACUAAGCUACACUUUGUUGGGCCUUCUUGGAUGUCACCCUUCUUGGAUGUCAACUCUCUUAGAUGCUCCUUGUGUGGCCUAGACGCUUCUUGUGUGGCCUAGACGCUUCUUGUGGGUGCCCUCUAUGCAAGGUUGGUCCUAGACGCUCUCUUGGUUGCCUUUCAUGCAAGGUUGGUCCUAGACGCUCUUUUGGGUGCUGGGGCCUCUUCCAUCAUCCCCUCCCUCUUGAAAAGGAUUUGUCCUCAAAUCCAAUGCUUUUUCUUCAACUAGGGGGAUGAAUGUGGCUGGAUGUUGUCCAUCAUCUCCUCCUUCUUGAGAAGAUCUAUCCUCAGAUCUACAGACUUAAUCUUGAAUAGCAGCCUCUUGCGUCGUCAAGGUUAGUCCUCUCGGAUUAAAUGUCCAUCUAUGGGAAUCUUGAAACAAAACAAAGGAGUUAGUGUCAGCAAUUGGAGAAAACUUAAUUGUGUGAAGUUGCUAUUUUUGUUUUUCUUUUGUUUUUGGAAACUUUGCACAAUAUUUCCCUUUUGAAGGUUGUAUGUGUCUUCUAAUCCUCUUAUGUUUUAUAAAAUCUCCAAUAGUAGUUACUUUUUCCUUAGGCAUAAUUCCUUGAGGAGGUGGUAACAACUUAAAAAGGGAAAGAGGACUAUGUUCACAUACAACGUCAAAUGGAGAAAGAUGAGUAAUCUUGUGGACUACUCCAUUGUAUGCAUGCUCAAUAGGAAAAGCAUACUCAUCCCAAGAAUUGUGGUUGUCUCUCAUGAUUUCUCUAGGUAUAGUAGAAAAAGCUAUGUUUUCAAUUUUAUUUUGACUAUUCUUUUGAGGAUGAUAAGACUUUGAAAAGAACAAUUUAGUUUCAAAUUUUUCCAAGAGAAUCCUCAAAUGAUGGUUUUCAAAUUUUGGAGCUCUAUUCAACACUAUGUUUGAAGAUAAAUCAUGAAGACUUGUCACUUCUCUAAGGAAGAGUUUAUCCAUAUCCAUGAAAAUGGAAUCAAAACCUUUUGUUGUCCUAGGAAGCUCUAAGAUAAAAUUGAGGUUUAUGUCUUCCCAAGGAUCAUUUGCAAAAGGUAAAGGAGUAUAGAGCUCAUGAGACAUCACCUUAGGUGUAUUUUUAAAACAAGAAAUGUAUCUAGGGUAAUGUCUUUGAACAUAUUUUCUCAUGGGUGACAAAAGUUUUCCCUUUAAAAGCUCUAGAGUUUUAUCAACUCUAUUUUGUCCCAUGAGUUCUCCUUCAUGACGAGUUUCUUUUUUAUGUGUGAAGGUAGUCUCGUUGAUACGACCAUUGAUCAUGGAAUCAUUUUGCAAUGGUUGUCUCAAUAAGAUAUGACAAGUUUCUUUAGGGACUACCUUACAUAAAAAAUCGUCUUGGUAGUUGCCUAUAGAUAACUUGACCUUCAUUUGUGGGUGAUAUCUCAUAUAUUCAAAGUAAACUAAUACAUAUUUAUCUAUGCAAGCCUCUUUUAAGGUUUAUUCUUUUGUGACUAUGCUUGCAAGUGUUCCUUCACAAAAGGUAAGGCUAGGUUGUUCAACAAGAAGCAUGUUUUCAAAGGUAUUUUCAAAUUUUCUUUCUUGUUGAAGGACCUUGUGGGAAGGAACACUCUUUUCCCACGCCUUUUGUUUUUCAAAGGUUUUCUCUUGAUUUUCUAUUUUUAAUAUGCUUGUAAGGGGUUGUACCGUCCCGUCCCCGGGCGUUGACCAAAGUCAAGUCAAAGUCAAAGUCAACGUAUGGAGGGGUCCUUUCAAAGGAAGAAAGUCAACAGAUGACCGCUUGAGGCGUCGCCAAGGUAGGGCAUCGCCAAGGUGUAGGCGUCGCCAGGUGUAGGCGUCGCCAGGAUGAGGCAUCGCUAGGUGUAGGCGUCGCCAGGAUGAGGCAUCGCCAGGUGUAGGCGUCGCCAGGUUAGGGCGCCGCCAGGAUAAGGCGUUGCCAAGUUAAGACAUCGACGGUGUAGCCCCCCGAUACCCAUGGGUAGGAAAGAUCGUGGAGGGGGCGACACCGCGAGAGGCCUCAGUACCUCAGGACAGUAAUAAAGAGAAGAGAAAGGUGGCUUCAAGGCCAUAGUUCUAGUACUAGUAGGGGGUAACCUGACUCACGAUGUACCCACGCCACCGGUGGGAGACCCUGGGACAGAUACGACCCAUGAGAGGGCCACGCUUAGGGGAGAACCACGUGCAUGGUACGAGAGAAAGGUAGAUACGCUCUCAGGGCAACUGAUUAGAGGCUGGGGCGCAUGAGUUGGCACCCAGAAAAUCACCCCUUUGUGCAAAUGCGCUCCAAGAAGGGGGACUUACACGAUGAAUUACCCCUAAGUUGGGUUACGACGUUGUAAGGCCCUCCACGAAGCGUAACGAUCAAGUCAGAAGAACACGUGGCAAUAAGCACUGAAAACAUCAAGGCUUUCCUAAAUGUUCACUAAGGUACGCGUUAAUUCAGUUAAGAUUCGAACGUUUCAAGGGAUAUUUUUAUACGUUUUCAAUGCGCUUUAACACAUUUUAAAUGCGAGAGGUGUAUAAAAAGGGGCCUUGGGAUGUUUGAAAGGGGAUCCAAGUUUUAACCUAAUUCUCACAGUUUACACAGAGUCACAAAAAACCCUAGUUGUUUCACGGUGCACCCACUAUGCGCACAGACAAUUAGGGCAACACAGUACUAGCUAUUCAGUAUUUCGACCACCUUCAGAGCAUCCUUUCACGGUUUUCCGAUACGGAGGUGGGUCACCUUUGAUGUUUCUCGCUAGCUGACUUGAUCGUCGGAGUGCAAACGGCCGCGAGGGCGCCCCUUUGUUCACUUCUUUUCAGGUACUCACGAAUGGAGCAGAACGAAGGUGUCCUAGCUCGUGAGGACAAGCCACGCAUAAAGACGACCCUAGUCAACCGACGGGAACAUUUGGUGCCCACCGUGGGGUCGAUAUAAAACGUCAGUCCCAUCACACCAUUUUCCAGUUCCAGUUGCAGUUUCCAACCCAAUUCCAGUUCUCAAAUCGCAGAUAAUCAAGAAGGCUUCCAGAAACCACGAACAUUAGACCCGCAAGCGCUAGGAGUGAAGAGAUGACCAUGCAACAACUCAUGGGCAUAAUGCAAGGGUUGCAAGAAGCAAUGGCAGCAUCAAAAGCGGAGCAAGAGCGCAUGCAGGCGGAUCUCACAGCAUCUCAGGCGAGAAACGAUGAGCUCCACCGCACCAACGAGGAACUACGCCGCGGAUGGCGCGACGUAGACGAGCCUGAGACAGCCACCCCACCAAGAGAAUUCUCUACGCCGUUCUCGCAGACGAUCCUAGAGACAGCGAUCCCCAACACCUUCACGGGGCCCAAACUAACCUUUACAGGGAUGGAGGACCCUGAGGCGCACCUCACUGCGUUUCACACGCAGAUGAUGCUGGUAGGCGGUUCUCAUGCCAUAAGGUGCAAGCUCUUCAUUUGCACUUUGACUGGGAUGGCCAUGGAUUGGUUCAUCAGCCUCCCAGAGGGUCACAUCACGUCUUUCACACAACUCUCGCGACUGUUCAAAGAGCAAUACCUAGCCAACAGGGCCCCACCCCCUGUUUCAUACGACCUAUUUGACGUGAAGCAGUAUCAAGGUGAGACCUUGAAAGAGUACAUAAGCCGUUUCGGGGCGCAAGUGGUGAAGGUGGGCACCACAGACGAGCCCAUGAUCGUGUACGCAUUCAGGAAAGGAGUGUGUCUUGGGUCUUUCAGCAAGUCACUCAAUCGCAGCCGCCCCAAGACUUUUGCUGAAGUAAGGCGUCGGGCGGUAAAACACAUUGCCUCUGAGGGUGAGGCAUACGAGAAAUGCACGACUGCUGCACCCACACGCCCAAGAGUGCAGAUGCGCACACAACCCGCUAGGGUCCACGAAGCCGCCACAGAGAGAAAGAACCAAGACAGGAAGCGCACCUACGAGGCAAGGAGGACCCAGCCUAGGGGUCGAGCAAAAGGAAGGAGAGAGGGAAAUAGACCUCUAAGGCACAAUUUUGUGGUGGAACUUAAAGACCUCAUCGUUGUGCCCAACAUAGCCGACAGGUUGAGGCCACCAAUGAAGUCUGACAAGGUGCUGGGACCUCACAAAGAAUCAUGGUGCGAAUUUCAUGAAGCAUUCGGGCACCAUAUUAACAACUACUUAGCGUUGGGCUAUCAGUUGGAUGAGCUUGUGAAGAAUGGUUUCCUAAAAGAUUAUCUCGCUGGGUCUACUACAACAACAACCACAGUGACACCAGAGGAAGGUCAAGCGCACGAAAUGCCGACUCACGGAGAAGUACACACCAUUUCUGGCGGCUUUUCCGGAGGAGGACCCACUGCCUCUGAACGUAAGAAAUAUGUGAGGUCAGUAAGUUCAGUUGCUGAGGAGUUUCCGGAUGACCUGUGGGAGUCAGACCUUGUUUUUACAAGGGCUGACCUGCGGGAUGUCGUCCCACACGAUAAUGACCCCGUGGUCAUUUCAAUAGUCACAGCGGGAAGAAAGGUACAUAGGGUUCUUGUCGACCAGGGCAUUUCUGCUGACGUCAUGUUUUGUUCGACCUUCAACAAGCUACAGUUAUCCCCCGACCUGCUAAGACCCUAUACUGGAUGCUUGUAUGGGUUUGCAGAUAACCCAGUGGAGGUACGUGGUUACCUGGAACUGAGGACGACAUUCACUGAUGGAGCGGCGUCACGCACCGAGAGAAUCCGGUACUUGGUGGUUAACGCCAACUCAGCCUACAACAUCUUGUUAGGCAGACCUGCCUUGAACAGAUUAAGGGCAGUGUCCUCCACACGCCACAUGAAGAUGAAGCUACCAGAUCUUAGUGGCAAAGUAAUCGUAAUCAAGUCAGAUCAGGAAGAGGCCCGUAAGUGCUAUGAAAAUAGCCUGAAGACGAAGAGAGGCAUGGUCAUGGUGAUUGAACGACCACCAGUUUCAAAUUCGCAAAUGGAGUUAGGACCGUUGGAAGAGGCGACGCUUGCGGAGUCCACGCCUGUCGAGGCCACACCUGCGGGGUAAUGCCUAUAGAAGAUGCACGUACGGAUGGAAGAUACGGUACACCUCGCCGAUGGAAGAAGUAUACGGAGAGGCCUCGCCCAUGGAAGAAGAGUCAGGGAAGGCGAUGCCCGAUGUAUCCGAUAGGGCGACGCCUAUAGAAGAGGACCCCGUGAACGAGUCUCGCGUAGAGAACGAGCAGAGUAAACAACCCCAACCAGUAGACAACGUGGUGGAAAGACAGAUAAGGGGUAAGGUGUUCAAAUUAGGACGUUUCUUGAGCCAGGAAGAACGAGAAGAGGUAGCUGCGGUGAUCUCGCGCCACCUAGAUGCAUUCGCGUGGACUGCGGCGGACAUGCCGGGCAUCGACCCAGAUUUUUUAUGCCACCAUCUUACUAUGGACGCCAAGGUUCGCCCCGUGCGACAGAGAAGGAGGAAGUUCAACGAGGAACGAUGCCUCGUCGUGAAGGAAGAGACGCAAAAGCUGUUAAGUGCUGGGCACAUCAAGGAAAUACAAUACCCUGAGUGGCUGGCCAACGUAGUUCUAGUGAAAAAGGCGAAUGAGAAAUGGAGGAUGUGCGUUGACUUCACAGAUCUGAACAAGGCAUGCCCCAAAGAUUCGUACCCACUGCCCAACAUCGACGCGCUAGUUUUGCGCGUCGGGCUGCAAAAUGCUGAGUUUCUAGGAUGCAUUCUCAGGUUACAACCAGAUCAAGAUGCAUCCAAGGGAUGAGAGCAAAACGGCGUUCAUGACGGAGACAAGCAGCUACUGUUACAAGGUGAUACCAUUUGGGUUGAAAAACGCAGGCGCCACCUACCAGAGGCUGAUGGACAAGGUCCUUGCACCCAUGCUGGGAAGGAACGUGCAGGCCUACGUAGAUGACAUGGUGGUGACUUCACACAAGAGAGGGCAGCACAACGGAUCUGGAAGAUCUGUUUGCUACCAUAUCAAAGUAUCGCCUCAAAUUAAACCCAGAAAAGUGCGUUUUUGGCGUGGAAGCAGGGAAGUUCUUGGGGUUUAUGCUCACUGAAAGGGGUAUAGAGGCGGACCCUGAUAAGUGUGAAGCCAUUAUAGCCAUGAGGAGCCCAACCUCAGUUAAAGAAGUUCAGCAAUUGACUGGGAGGAUGACAGCUUUGUCAAGGUUUGUGUCUGCUGGAGGGGAGAAGGGCCACCCUUACUUCCAAUGCCUCAAGAGGAAUAGCUGUUUUGCAUGGACAGAUGAGUGUGAAGCAGCGUUCCUCAAAUUGAAGGAGUACUUGGCGACGCCACUUGUGCUCUGCAAGCCACAAGUGGGCGUCCCCCUCCGAUUAUACUUUGCGGUGACAGAGUGGGCCAUUAGCUUUGUGUUGGUCCAGGAGCAAGACCAAGCGUAGAAGCCCAUUUAUUUCAUAAGCAAGGCCUUGCAAGGCCUAGAGUUGAGGUACCAGUCGCUGGAGAAGGCAGCGUUAGCAGUGGUGUUCUCAGCCAGAAGGCUCCGCCACUAUUUCGACAGUUUCACAGUGGUGAUGAUGACGAGCCUCCCAAUCCAGAAAGUACUUCAAAAGCCAGAUGUAGUAGGGAGGAUGGUUCGUUGGGCGGUAGAACUGUCGGAGUUUGAUAUCCAGUAUGAACCCAGGGGGUCCAUCAAAGGGCAAGUCUAUGCUGACUACGUGGCAGAGCUCUCACCAGGAGGAGACCCUCAAGAGGUGGAGUUAGGGUCACAGUGGAUGCUCUCAGUGGAUGGGUCCUCCAACCAGCAGGGAAGUGGCGCUGGAAUAAUCUUGGAGGGGCCUAAUGGAGUGUUGAUCGAGCAGCCUUUACGAGGUGUUGAUUGCUGGGAUGCUUUUGGCUAAAGAAAUGGGUGCUCAGAGCCUCUUGGCAAAGAGUGACUCACAAUUGGUCACAGGACAAGUAACAGGGGAGUAUCAGGCAAAGGAUCCACAGAUGGCUGUGUACUUGAGGUACGCCCAGUUGUUGAAGAGAGCCUUCGCUGCGUUUGAGCUGGUGCAUGUCCCUAGGGAGCAGAAUGCCAGAGCUGACCUGCUUGCCAAGCUGGCCAGCUCAGGUAAGGGGGGAAGGCAGAGGACUGUAAUCCAAGAGACCCUCAAAACGCCGCGAAAGUUUGUUGCGGACAACAAGGUGGAUGUUCUUCAUGUUAGUACAACAAGAGGAAAGCCAAGGUACCAUCGCUCUUUGAGUCAAGAUACGGUGAGGGCACCCUGCAUCAGUACUUAUGCGACCUCGCCAGAAGAAGAAAAGGGUGUACAAGUAUGUGCUUUGGAGAAAGGCGACACAUGGAUGACCCCUUACAGGCGAUACCUAGCGGAUGGAGUCCUCCCAGCGGAACCAGAAGAAGGCAAGAAGAUUAAGAGGAACGCCGCAAGGUACACCUUAGUGGAUGGGAUAUUAUUCAGACACGGGUUUACACACCCUAUCUUGACGUGCGUGAGUGGCGACGAGUGCGCCAGGAUAAUGGCUGAACUCCAUGAAGGUAUUUGUGGGAGCCACGUGGGAGGAAGAUCCUUGGCAUCCAAGGUAAUACGUGCAGGGUUCUUCUGGCCAACAGUAAGAUAGGACUGCGUGCGAUACGCCCAGCAUUGCAAGCAAUGUCAGAUGCACGCUGAUUGGCACAAGGCGCCGCCAGAGGAACUGAGGUCCAUAUACAGCUCAUGGCCUUUCCAUACUUGGGGAAUUGAUAUCCUAGGCCCGUUCCCACUGGCGAUAAGGCAGAUGAAGUACUUGAUCGUUGUCAUCGAGUACUUCACCAAGUGGAUAGAGACAGAACCAGUGGCACAAAUCACUGCGCACAAGGUACAACACUUUGUUUGGAAGAACAUUGUGUGUCGUUUUGGGGUGCCGAGGCGUCUCAUUUCAGACAAUGGCACCCAAUUUGCGAGCCAACAGUUGGGGAAGCUGUGUACAAAAGUAGGAAUCAAGCAGGUGUUUGCAUCAGUCGAACACCCCCAGACGAAUGGGCAGGUCGAGUCAGAAAAUAAAGUUUUGUUGAGGGGUUUGAAACGCAGAUUAGAGAAGGCUAAAGGGGCGUGGGCAGAAGAAGUACCAAGGAUUGUAUGGGCUUACCACACCACGCCUCAAUCUUCCACCAUGGAGACGCCUUUCAGCCUAGUGUAUGGGUCGGACACCAUGAUCCCAGUAGAGAUCCACGAGAGCUCGCCUCGUUUCCUAGGUUUCGUGGCAGAAGAGUCCAACGAAGAAAGGAAGGUGAACUUGGAUCUGAUAGACGAAGCUAGAGAAGAGGCGAGAAUUAAGGCUGAGGCUGUGAAUAGAAGAGUGGAGUGUCAGUACAGCUCUAAGGUGAAGCUGCGACAAUUUCAGGUUGGUGAUCUGGUCAUGAGGAAGGCUCACCCUUACGAGUUGGAAAACAAGUUGUCUUCCAAGUGGACUGGACCGUUCAGAGUAAUCAAAGCCAAAGGGAAUGGUUCAUAUAAGUUAGAGACUCUAGAAGGAGGCCCCAUCCCACGUAGUUGGAAUGCGGCGAAUUUAAAGUUUUAUUUUAGUUGAAAUUUUGUAAAGGGGACACUCUUUUUCCCUCCCGGGGUUUUUUAAUGAGGUCACCCAAAUAAAGAAAAGAGAAGUUUAAGAUAUUUCUGCCUUAGUUUUUCCCUCUCAUGUAAGAUCAAAGAUUAAAGAAACAAAGACAAAGAUUCAAGGAGUCGCCAAGAUGAGGCGUCACCAAAAUAAGGCGUCGCCGAGAUGAGGUGUCGCCAAGAGGAAGCGUUACCAAGAUGAGGCGUCGCCGGGACAAGGCGCCGCCAGGAUAAGGCAUCGCCAGAUAAAGGAGCGGAGGUCAGAUUCAAAGCAAGAUAACAGGUAUGUUCAGUAUAAGUUAAAAAUCCGAAUGCCUAGUUCUUGAGUAGGGGUUAAAGGAUUCCUUCGGGACGCCCCCUCCUCAGGUAUGAAUAGCUAGCCCCGGUAUCAGAUGUUAAACAUAAGUUAAAAAUCCAGGUGCCUAGUCCUUGAGCAGGGGAUAAGGGAUUCCUUCGGGACACCCCCUUCUCAGGUAUGAAUAGCUAGCCCCGGUAUCAGACGUAGGCUAAAAUUUGGGUGCCUAGUCCCUGAGCAGGGGUUAAGGGAUUCCUUCACCCCUUCCUCAGGUAGGAACAGCUAGCCCCAACGUCUGAUGUUUAGAACACUUCGCCUUGGUGUUUUCAGACACCCUGAGGACGAUACGGCGCUGUUGUAGUAGGCCCUCCUCAAGCGUGGGCACCAAGCGCGAAGAGAUAAGGGCUAAGUUGCUCUGGUGUUUAGACACCCCGUGGGCGAUACGACGCUAUUGUAAUAGGCCUCUCCACGGGCGUGGACGCCAAAGCGUGACUUUUGUCCCAAGUGCUUAGACACGCUAAGGACACCCAGAGCAGGUCUCUCCUCGAGCGUAGACACCCAGUACAGGUAAGAUAAGUCCUCCUCGCCCUCGAACGAUGUCGAGGCCACAAAAGAAUAGAUAAGUCCUCCUCGCCCUUGAGCGAUGUCGAGGCUAGAAAGGAGAUGAGACUCCCUGUUUCAUCUUAAAGCGAUGAUAAAACCGGCAAUGCCUUUGGCUACGAGUGCCUUGGGCUCAAGAACAAGUAAGUAAAGGUGAAGCACUCAAGGAUGAAAGUUGGAUUGCUAUUAUGCAGGAAGAGCUGAAUCAAUUCAUCAAAAAUGAAGUAUGGACUUUGGUUCCUAAAGCUGACAACAAGAAUAUAAUUGGAACCAAAUGGGUAUUUUGAAACAAACUAAAUGAAGUUUGAGUGACUACAAGAAACAAAGCUAGGUUGGUUGCCAAAGGUUACAAUCAAGAGGAAGGCAUAAACUAUGAUAAAACCUUUGUACCUGUGGCCAUAUUGGAAGUUGUGAGACUGUUGCUUGCCUUUGCCUGCAUUAGUGGUUUCAAUUUGUUCCAAAUGGAUGUGAAGAAUGCCUUUGUAAAUGGGUUCAUCAAUGAGGAGGUUUAUGUCUCACAACCACCUAGUUUUGAGGAUCAUCAAAAUCCCAAUCAUGUUUACAAGAUGAAGAAGGCUUUGUAUGGACUUAAACAAGCUCCAAGAUAGUGGUAUGAGAGACUUAAAAAUUUCCUCUUGUCUCAUAACUAUGAGAGUGGCAAAAUUGAUAAGACUCUUUUUUAUUAAAAUGUCCAAAUCUACUAUCAUUUUAGUUCAAAUUUAUGUUGAUGACAUUAUAUUUGGUGCUACUAAUGAUAGUUUGUGUGAAGAAUUUGUGGAAGCAAUGCAGGGGGAGUUUGAAAUGUCUAUGAUGGGGGAGUUAUCCUUUUUCUUAGGGUUGUAGGUCAAGCAAUCAAAGGAUGUCAUCUUCCUUAGCCAAACCAAGUAUUGUAAAGAGAUUCUCAAGAAGUUUGAAAUGGAAAAUUGCAAAGAGGCAUCCACACCAAUGUCUACAAGUUGUCAUAUGAAUGCUGACUUGGUUGGAAUAACAGUAGAUCAAACAAAAUUCCAAGGAUUGAUUGGUUAUUUGCUUUAUCUCACUACUAGCAAGCCAGAUAUCAUGUUUGCAAUUUGUCUUUGUGCUAGAUUUCAUUCCAAUCCAAAAGAAUCUCACUUCAAUGUUGCAAAACGAAUUCUGAAGUAUCUCAAGGGCACAAACCACUGUUGGUUUAUUGUAUCCCUCUCACUCUCCUAUACACUUAGUUUGCUAUUCUAAUUUUGAUUUUGCAGUGUGUAAGCUAGAUCGAAAAGGCACAAGUGGGACUUGUCAUCUUCUUGGUUCAAGUCUCAUAUCUUGGCAUAAGAAGAAGCAAGCUUGUGUGGCUCUUUCCACUACUGAAGCUGAAUACAUAGCUGCUGAAAGUUGGUGUGCUCAAAUUCUCUGGAUCAAACAGCAAUUAGAGGACUUAGGGUUGAAGAUCAACAAGGUGCCUUUGCUUUGUGAAAACACAAGUGCUAUAAAUCUUACCAAAAAUCAUAUUCAGCAUUCAAGGACAAAGCACAUUGAGAUUUGCUACCACUUUAUAAGAGAUCAUGUGAGCAAUGGUGAUUGUGAAGUUCAACUUAUUAAAACUGGAAGAAAACUUGCAGAUAUAUUCACCAAGCCACUUCCCAAGGACAGGUUUUUCUUUAUAAGAAAUGAAUUGGGUAUUCUUGAUUCUAAAAAUCUUGCUUAAUUUUGCUUAUAAUUUGUUCUUCUACUCUAAUUGUGAAGACAAAUAAGGGGAGAAUUAUCUGGUUUGACUGUGGUUUGUAUGUGUGUAGUAUGUUGUUGCAGAAAACUCUGAUUGUGCACCUCAUUCACACUGGUUUUUCACACUGGUUUUGCUGGUUUUCUUUAUGAAAAUCAUAUGGUGAAAACUGGUUCAUUGGUGCAAGAGGAACCUGGAUAUGAUUGCUCUCUGGGACAUGCAUUUUGUCUAUUUUGCAGGUACAUUCAAAUUCAAACAGAUCAACACAAGCAAAC